UCAAGCUACAAAGAGCACAAGGGGAAUGCCUUGGCACCGAGAGCCGAAGAAGGACGUGACUAACUGCGAUAAGCUGCGGGGAGCCGUAAGUAGGCUUUGAUCCGCAGAUUUCCGAAUGGAGCAAUCCGGCAAGAGGAAAGUCUUGUCAUCAUAUACUGAAUACAUAGGUAUAUGAGGGGAACCGCCUGAACUGAAACAUCUAAGUAGGGCGAGGAAGAGAAAUCAACUGAGAUUCCGUAAGUAGUGGCGAGCGAACGCGGAAGAGGCCAAACCGAGAGUAGUAAUACUUUCGGGGUUCGGACAGAAAACGGUAUUGUAAAGGUUUAGUGGAAUGGAAUGGGAAGUCCAACCGAAGAAGGUGAGAGUCCUGUACACGAAAAGCCUGAACAGCCAUCUGUAUCCAGAGUACCGCCGGACACGUGAAACCCGGUGGGAAUACGGGGGGACCAUCCUCCAAGCCUAAAUACUACUCGGUGACCGAUAGUGAAGAAGUACUGUGAAGGAAAGGUGAAAAGUACCCCUGACGGGGAGUGAAAAAGAACCUGAAACCUUGUGUUUACAAGCACCGAAAGCUCAUCAAAGAGCGAUCGGGUACCUUUUGUAGAAUGGUCCGGCGAGUGAAUGUAACCGGCGAGGUUAAGCACUUAAGGUGUGAAGCCGCAGCGAGAGCAAGUCUGAAUAGGGCGUAUGAAGUCGGUUGUAUUCGACCCGAAACCGGGUGACCUACCCAUGGUCAGGUUGAAGUAAAGGUAAAACUUUAUGGAGGACCGAACCGACUCCCGUUGAAAUGGUAGCGGAUGAACUGUGGGUAGCGGAGAAAUUCCAAUCGAACCCGGAGAUAGCUGGUUCUCCCCGAAAUAGUUUUAGGACUAGCCUCAAGUUAGAUACCUGGAGGUAAAGCACUGAAUAGCCUAGCGGCCGAGAGGUUAGCGAAGCUUAUCAAACUCAGAAUGCCAGAAUAUUGAUGCCUGGGAGUCAGACAGUGUCAGAUAAAUGUCAUUGUCAAAAGGGAAACAGCCCAGAUCUACAGCUAAGGUCCCAAAGUCAGGUUAAGUGGAAAACGAUGUGAAGAUACGCAGACAACCAGGAUGUUGGCUCAGAAGCAGCCACUCAUUCAAAGAGUGCGUAAUAGCUCACUGGUCGAGCGUCUUUGCGCGGAGAAUUUAACGGGGCUAAACCUGACACCGAAGCUUAGGCAAUACAGCAAUGUAUUGGGUAGGGGAGCGUUGUAUACGCGGAGAAACAGUAGCGUAAGCGGCUGUGGAGUGUAUAGAAGUGAGAAUGCCGGAAUGAGUAGCGCGAAUGCAGUGAGAAUCUGCAUGGCCGAAAGCCUCAGGUUUUUGGAGGAAGGUUCGUCCGCUCCAAGUUAGUCGGGAGCUAAGGUGAGGCCGAAAGGCGUAGCCGAUGCACAGACGGUAGAGAUUCCGUCACCACCAAAAGAGUUAAGCACAGGGACACAUAUGAAGUCUCAGAGCCGGGUGUUGGUUCCGGUAGAGAUCGAGGGAAAUUAGUACCGAAGUCUGAGAUGGAAGAUGGCGAGAAAAGCUGUGUGUAUUUCUGAGGUGCCCGUACCGCAAACCGACACAGGUAGGUAGGAAGAAGAUUCUAAGGCCAACGGGAGAAGGGUUGUUAAGGAACUCGGCAAAUUGACCCCGUAACUUCGGGAGAAGGGGUGCUCCAGAGAUGGAGCCGCAGAGAAUCGGCCCAAGCAACUGUUUACCAAAAACACAGGUUUGUGCUAAAUCGAAAGAUGACGUAUACGAGCUGACGCCUGCCCGGUGCUGGAAGGUUAAGAGGAGAUGUGCAAGCAUUGAAUCGAAGCCCCAGUGAACGGCGGCCGUAACUAUAACGGUCCUAAGGUAGCGAAAUUCCUUGUCAGGUAAG
Molecule: ribosomal RNA, 1884 nt
Filed under: human gut metagenome
Description: bacterial LSU rRNA
Rfam family: Bacterial large subunit ribosomal RNA
Source: RNAcentral